CAAACCGCAAUCGAUGUCCUUGGAUUUAAUUUGGAAAUUAGCAAACCUUGGUGUGUAUUUCAAAUUGGGUCAUUGCUCCUGACACUCGAGUAUUAUAAAGGUGAAUAGGUACACGUUGCCUGAUUGACGAAUAUAAGUGUUCAAUUUCAAUGAUUGAUUAGAAAGCACAGCUGCCGCUAAUGAACUUUAUCCCCUGGUGUGAUCCUACAAGGACAGUUUUAUGGCUCAGAACAGGACUUUGGCUCUUUGGCUAGAGAACUUCAACAUCAAUCACCGAAGGAAAUAGAACGUUGAGUUGAGUUGGGUAAAAUGAAGAAUUACGAUAACGGUUUUAUUAUGAAUAUUUGUCGUGUUCCUGUAAGACGAAUACUAUUCAAAG
Molecule: long non-coding RNA, 379 nt
Organism: Planococcus citri (citrus mealybug)
Lineage: Eukaryota; Metazoa; Arthropoda; Insecta; Hemiptera; Pseudococcidae
Exons: 3
Source: RefSeq, a predicted model, not a curated record